RNAcentral lists this ribosomal RNA (565 nucleotides) under bacterium 77-L049659-122-016-E10. RNAcentral describes it as "bacterial SSU rRNA". It matches the Rfam family "Bacterial small subunit ribosomal RNA", at positions 60 to 637 of the family's 1533-position model. The record is from RNAcentral.
AGUCGAACGAUGAUCAGGAGCUUGCUUCUGUGAUUAGUGGCGAACGGGUGAGUAACACGUGAGUAACCUGCCCCUGACUCUGGGAUAAGCGUUGGAAACGACGUCUAAUACUGGAUAUGACUUCCGGCCGCAUGGUCUGGUUGUGGAAAGAUUUUUUGGUUGGGGAUGGACUCCCGGCCUAUCAGCUUGGUGGUGAAGUAAUGGCUCACCAAGGCGACCACCGGUAACCCGCCUGAAAAGGUGACCGGCCACACUGGGACUGAAACACCGCCCAAACUCCUACCGGAAGCAACAGUGGGGAAUAUUGCACAAUGGGCGAAAGCCUGAUGCAACAACCCCCCGUGAAGGAUGACGGCCUUCCGGUUGUAAACCUCUUUUAAUAAGGAAGAAACCAAAGUGACCGUACCUGCAGAAAAAGCACCGGCUAACUACCUGCCAACAGCCGCGGUAAUACCUAAGGUGCAAGCGUUGUCCGGAAUUAUUGGGCGUAAAGAACUCGUAAGCGGUUUGUCGCGUCUGCUGUGAAAUCCCGAAGCUCAACCUCCGGCUUGCAGUGGGUACCGGC